GUCUUUGUGAAAUGCUUUCCAUUUAUUCUCCGAGUUUGAUACUUAUCGGCAAUUAUUGGAAGAUUGAUUUACUCAUUGUUCCUCUUCCCUGGCCAUGGAUGUAUAUGUGGAUGUUCAGGAUUCUUGCGCUACGCUGCUGAGCAGCCUCAAGAUCACACUUGAAUGAAUUUAUAUGCAACUGAGUUUUUUCGUGAUUUCCGUCCAUCAGCCUUAUGCCAAAAGUAGCCGACUCCCUGACUUGGUGUGGGGCGUUUUUUCCCCAGUGUCUCCAUAAAUAAUUUGGAAUAGAUUGUUUAGUAUGUGGAGUCAUCUCUGGCUAUGCUAGUGUAUAUGGAGGGUGGCGGAGGGAGUAUAUUAUGGUAUAUUUUUGGAUUUAUUUUCUACAUAGGCAUUCCCGGUGCUUAUCGUUAUACUCUUCAAUUUCCAGUGUCUUACCAGUGGCUGUUUCUUAAUCAACCUUCAGCGGAAGCCACUCCUUGUUUGGUGCUUGGUUAUUUUUACUCCGUUUCAUCAGUUCCUUUUUGUGCUGAGCCUCAACAUGUGGCGAGAUGCAAAAUAAAUUGUGGUUCUGUUGAUGGUGGAGCUUAAGGUGGGCUAUCUUGGUCUGGCUGUUGGACAUGGACCAAUAUUUGGUGCUGGUGUUGAUCGAGUUUAUGAAGGGUGGCAGAGUAACAAUAGUAUUUUCGACUGUCGUUUAUCUUCUUGCUGGACAUCUCCGUUGGUUAUUGUUAUGCUCUUUAAUUUCCUGAUUUCAGAAAGCAGUUCUGGGCUUUGACAGUUCGACAGAGGGAGUAUAGUAUAGUAUUGUUUUCACUACCUGUUACCUUCCACCUAGACUUUUCCAGCCUUAUUGUUAUCCUCUUUGAUAUCCAGUCUCUGACUUUUGGGUGGGUUCUUCAUCAGGCUUCACUGGAAGACAGCUAUUGUUUGAUGCUUGGUUAACUGUUCUUUUGUAAACUGUUUUUGUUUAAUGUUUAGUCAAUUUUUCUGGUUUGAUGCUUGGUUAACUUUUUUAUGUUAAAUGGUUGUUUAUUUACCUACGUGUGAAUGUUGUUUUCAGCCUUUGUUGCGGGUCGUUGACGUGGACCAAACUCUGAUACUUGCAUUUAUGGUGUUUAUGAAUGCUGGCCUUUCUCCUGCCAUUUAUCUUCUAGCUGUGCUUUCCCUUAUCUUGCUAUAUGCUCUUUCCUCCUGAUCUUUGGAUUGCUCUACCUGUUUUCAGGAGAAGGACGUUCUUUGUUUUUACGAGGGAGUAUAGUUAGUUUUCUUUUCUAAUAACUUUUAUCUUCUACCUAGACCUCCCCCUGCCUGAACUUACCUGUGUUUAUCGUUAUACCCUUCAGUGUCCAGUAUCUGAGGGUUGGGUAGCUCUUAAUCAACCUUCACCCAAAGGCAGUUUUCAUGGGAAGGCAGUUCUUGAUGAUGCUCUGUUUUGUUGUGGAUAUUUCUUCCUCCUUUGAUUGAAGAUGCAAAAUAAGUUUUGAUUCUGUUAGACUUGGAGCUUAAGGUUAGGCUAUUGGGCCUGGUUGUUGGACAAGUGCAAAAACUGUUGAUGCCAUGAUGGCGUUGUAGUGUUUUUGAGGCUUUGCAGAGGGAGUAUCGUAUUUUUUAUCGUCAUUUAUCUUCUAGCUGGACUUUCCCAUUGCUUACUGGUAUGCUCCUCAAUUUCCAGAUGUCUGCUCUUUGGGCUGUUCGGUCAGUUUUCAAGAGAUGCCAUUCUGUGUUUUUAUAAUGUAGGGAGUAUGCUACAGUGUUUUUGUUUACUGUGUUUUAUCUUCUACGUAGACCUUUCCAAUGCUUACCGCCUGUACUCUUCAAUUUCCAGUUUCUGGUCAUUGGCAAGUUCUUAAUCAACCUUCACAAAGAGAGUUCUGGUUUGAUACUGGAUUAUCUUUUCUGUGUUUCAUCAUUUUGUGUGUUACACAGAUUAUAUUUUAUCUUCUGCGUAGACAUUCCCGGUGCUUACCGUUAUAAUCUUCAACUUCCAGUGUGCUAUCAUUGGCUGGUUCUCAAUCUACCUUCCGUGGUAGCCAGUUCUGGUUUGGUGCAUGGUUACUUUUACUCCGUUUCAUCCGUUACAUUUUGUUACAUGGAUAUAAGGUUUGGCCUCAACAUGUGACAGGAGAUACAUAAUAAAUUUAGUACUGUCGAAGGUGGAGCCUAAGGAGGGCUAUCUUGGUCUGGCUGUUGGACAUGGACCAAUAUUUGAUGCUGGCGUUGACCGAGCUUAUGAAGGGUGGCAGAAGGAUUAUAUCGUAUUUUAUACUUUCGUUUAUCUUCUCGCUGGACAUUUCCUUUGUUUAUUGUUAUGCUCUUCAGUUUUGAUGUUAGAUAUUUGGGUAUUUCAGUUUCCAAGAGAAGGCAGUUUUGGGAUUUUACUUUGUGACGGAGUGUAGUAUAGUGUUAUUUCACUACCUCUUAUCUUCUACCUAGACCUUCCCGCCCUUAUUGUUGUUCUCUUGAUAUACAGUGUCCGACCAUCGAGUGGCUCCUUCAUCCGGCUUUCACUGGAAGGCAGUCUAGUUUGAAAUUUGAUGCUUGGUUAAUUUUCCCUUUAAUCUGUUCUAGUUUGAACUUUGAUGCUUGGUUAACUGUUCACUUUAAUCUGUUUGUUUAUUUAUCUAUGUGUAUAUCGAUUUCAGCCUUCGUCGCGGGUCGUUGAUGUGGACCAAUCUCUGAUGCUGCAUUUAUGGUGUUUAUGAGGGGUGACAUUUAUCCUGUCAUUUAUCUUAUAGCUGAGCUUUCGCUUUACUUACUAUUAUGCUCUUCAAUUUCCAGAUAUCUGAUCUUUGGGUUGUUCUAUCAGUUUCUAGGGGAAGGCCAUUCUUUGUUUAUACUGUUUGGCAGAGGGGGUAUAGUAUUAUUUUCUACUAUUUUUUUUUCUAUAUGGACUUUCCUCACGUUCAUGUUUACUCUUCAAUUUCCACUAUCUGAGUGUUGGUGGUUCUUAAUCAACCUUCAACAGUUAAGUUGGAAGGCAAUUCUGGAUUGGUAAUUGAGUAUCUUUACUCUAUUUUAUAAGUUUUUUGUUUGCUACGUAGAUGUGUAUAGUAUUGUUUUUGUCUUCAGUGACAUUUGACCGGGAAAAUAAUUGCUUCUGUCAAAGUAGGAGCUUAAGUGUGACCGUCAUUGUAUGGUUGUUGGACACUGGACACUGUUACAUCUCUGAUGCUGGCAAGGAUAGUGCUUAUGGAGGGUAGCAGAGAGAGUACAGUAUUUUUCUGCUGUCUUUUAUCUUGUAGCUGGUCUUUUCCUUUACUUGUGAAUCUAUCAGAGUAGGAGUUGAUUGAAGGGCUAUCUUCGUCUGGUUGUUUGACAUGGGCCAAUAUUCAAUGUUGGUAUUUGAAGUGUUCUCGGAGGGUGGUAGAGGGAGUAUAGUAACUUUUGUAUUUCAUUCAUCUUGAGCUGGAUUUUCCCGUGACUUAUUGCUAUGCUGUUCAUAUCUCCAGAUGCCUUAUUCUUACUUCAUUCAAUAUGUUCUCAAGGAAAGGCUGAUUGGUGUCCUACAAUGUGAUAGAGGGAGUGCAUUAUAAUAUUUUUCUUUGUUCAUUGUUUUACAUUCGUUUCUAAUUUUCUACUGUCAUUUAUCUUCUAACUGGACUUAUUUUGCUUGUUAUUAUGCUCUUUAAUUCCAGAGGUCUCUGCAUGGUUCUACAGGAAAUUCGGUUCUGGGUUUGAUAGAGAGUACAGUAUGGUAUCUUUAAGAUGUGAUCUUUUAUGUAGACAUUCCUGUGCUUAUCAUUAUACUCUUUAAUUUCCAGUGUCAUAUUGUUGGCUGGUUCUUCAACCUUCAGUAGAAGCCAUUUCUGGUUUGAUGCUUGGUUAUUUGUACUCUAUUUCAUCAAUUUCUUUUUUUUGUUAAAUUGGAUAUUGUGGUUGGCCUCAACCUGUGACAGAUUUUACAAAUAAAUUUUGGUUCUGUUAAAGGUGGAGCUUAAGAUGGGCUAUCUUGGUUUGGCUGUUGCCUAUUGGACACGAAUCAAUAUUCAAUGCUGGAGUUGUCAGUAUUUAUGGGGGCAGGGAGAGGGAGUAUAGUAUUUUUCUAAGUUGUUAUCUUCUUGCUGGACAUUCCCUUUGCUUAUUGUUGUUCACUUCAAUUUCCAGAUGUCAAAUAUUUCGAGAAAGUAGUUCUGGGCUUUUACAAUGGCAAAGGGAGUAUGGUUUGUUAUCGUUUAGAUUUUAUCUUCUUGGUAGACAUUCCCAGUUCUCAUUGUCAUACUUCUCAAUUUCUCGUGGCUGAGCAAUGGCUGGUUCUGAAUCGACCUUCAGUGGAAGCCAAUUCCAGAUUGAUGCUAGGUUAUCUCUGAUCUGUUUCAUCAGUUCCUUCUUGUUACAUGGAUAUUGUGUUUGACCUCACCCUACAAGAGAAGAUAUGAUCACAUAUAAAAUAAAUUUGAUUCUGCUAAAUGCGGAGAUUGAGAUGGGCUUAUCUUUCUCUUGUUGGACAUGAUUAGGAACCAAUAAUUGAUACUGGCCUUGACUGAUUUCACUUGGAGCUUGAGGUGAGCUAUUUCACUUAUUUAUCUCAACUGUUCACCUUCCUUGUUGUACGUGAUCAUUUUUCUUCGGCUUAUGUAUUCAAAGCUGAAAGAAACCCAUGAUUUCACCGUCUAAUGUCGUCCAACUAAGUGUUCAAUUUUCCUUUUAUAGCUAAUGAACAAAUUGUAUGAUUCGCCAUGUGAACAAAUUUUUUUUGAGCUUCAGUUUCCCCUUUUGUAUCUUAUUAACCAAAGAGAUACAAUUUUGCACUAGUAUUUCUGCAACUAUUUCAUAUAAGAAAAUAUAGUCUUGCAUGAAGGAGGUAGAUAGGGGGCUGGGUUGGUCUAUGAUUCUUGGUUAUAGAAGAAAUGAACAAUUAGUUGGCUCUCUACUUGAAUAUAUAUGAACUUUUUAGUACAGUGAAUCCAUAUGUGUGUUUUUACGUAUACUUGUGGAUAGGUAGAGUCAUGUAACUCUGCCUGUGUGCUGGGGUUCCCUGCCACAGCCGGUCCCAAGCCCGGGAAAAGAGGAGGGGCGACCAAAUAAUGUAGUAAGGUUGCCUUUAUGAGUUAUUUUACUGAUUAUGAUUUUCUCUUCCAGACAUUCACUAAAUUCUAGUAAUUCUUUAUGUUGUAUUUUAUUAUUGCAUUACUGAAGCUAUUUUGUUUUUCCUUAUGGUAUUUCUGCCUGCUUGAUCCAUACAUGUGGUUAUGUUUAGUAGUUACCAUUACAUUUUUCAUGUAUCACCUCCGUUUCAAAUUAUUUGAGUUGUAUUCCAUUUUAAGUCGUUCCAAGUUACUCGAGUCUUUUAUUUAGCUAAGUUUUGUAGUCAGUAUCUUCUACCUUGAUUUUCCCCAUGCUUAUCGUUAUUCUCUGCAAUUUUCAGUGUGUACUUGGGCGGUUCUUAAAUGGUUUGAUACUUGGUUACUUUCCUCCGUGUCUAUAAUUUUUCUGUUAUGUGGAUUUUUUUUCUUCUACGCCCUUUGAUAGGAGAGACGAAAUAAGUUUUGAUUCUGUUACACAGAGCUUUAGGUGGGGCUAUUUUGGUUUGGUUGUUGGACAUUGUAGUAUUUAUGGGGGCUGAAAAAGGGAGUAAUGUAUUUUGUAUCGUCAUUUAUUUAUUGCUGGACUUCCCCUUGCUUACUAUUAUGCUCUUCAUUUUCAAGAUGUCUGCUCUUUGGCUCGUUCGAUCAAUUUUAAAGGGAACACCACCAUUCUGUAUUUUUACAAUGUGGAGGGAGUAUAGUGCAGUGUUUUUUCCUACUGCAUUAUAUCUUCUACACUUUCCCCAUGCUUACUGGUAUACUCUUCAAUUUACAGCGUCUUUCCCCAUGCUUAUUAUAUACUCUUCAAUGUAUAGUCUCUCGGCCCUUACCAAGAUGAAGAUGAGGGGAGUUGUCACCACUGUAUUCAACACUAGCAUUGAGGUUUGAGAGAUCGUUUGAGAUGUGAUUAGUAGCUCUCGAUCAGGAUAUCAAGAGCCAGUAAGACCUUUGUAGCUGCAUUCAAAGGGAUAUGUACUGGUGAUUAGGAGAGAUACCUCUUUGCUGCAGCAGGUUAGCAGAAGGUGUGUUGUAGAAAGACGGUUGUUGUGGCUGCGAGGACUGUCCCCGUCUGUGUGGACUCGACUGCGGUUCAUACUAUUAGAAUUGGAAAAUAAAAUAGUAAUUAGGAUUUAGAUUAGCUUUUAUUCUCAGCCUAUAUAUAAGGCAAUGUAUUGUAUUUUUUAAUCAAUACUUUUCACAAUAAAGAUAUUUUCCUUCUUUUUUCCCCUCUUUUAA
Long non-coding RNA from Salvia splendens (bonfire salvia), 6260 nucleotides. RefSeq lists it as uncharacterized. The transcript is spliced from 2 exons. The record is from RefSeq and is a predicted model, not a curated record. NCBI's taxonomy places the organism in Eukaryota, Viridiplantae, Streptophyta, Magnoliopsida, Lamiales, Lamiaceae.